CUGAGAGAGAGGAGUUUGGUCUGUCUCAUAACUCAUCCUCUUUAACAAACAUUCCAGUCUCUUCAACUGAGACACAGCAGCAUGUUGCUCCACCUGUGAAAGCCAGUGGUCAUAGCCACUGAUAAAAAGGAAGAACAUCUAGUGAGCUCUUUCACUCAGGUAAAUCACAACAAGGACCUGGGAAUCACCAUACCUUUGUAGCUGAUGGCAUACAGCAACAUUCACACAACCUUCAACACUCCAGUAGGAGCCCUGGCAGUGCUUUGUUUCACUAGGAGAUGCUGAAAUCAAACUGGCCACUCCUUGGGCUUGCAUUGGAUUUACACUCUGCUCAGGGAUGGAGUAGAGAGCCCAGACUGGCAGUUCAGGGUAUCAAAUGAUCUGGCUCUAGCCUACCCCUUGUCUCUGAGUUUGCAAAUGCCACAUCCUCUGGGAAAGUCUUGGUGGUGUUAGGUAGGGAUGGUGAUUGGGCCAUUCAUAUAAUAUUGUGGGAAUGCAGGUUUAAACCUUCUACCUCUCUGACCGAGAAAGGUAUCCGCUCCCAGGAGAGAACCCAAAGCUGUGAACCAUAGGGGCUUUUUGCAAAAAUACUAAAUGAGCAAGAAGAUACUAAACAAUUAUCAUCUAGAGUGCUUUCCAGAGAACUAGGCUCAAGACUACAGUAAGCCAGGUGAGUGUUCCGCCCUUUCCACUACUGUGUGCAAAAAAACAAAGGAAAAUAUGUUGUUGUCUAGAGGAACCUCCAGGGCUUCCUAAGGAAAAUUGCUGAGCUAGUUUAGCUGUUACUUGAGUCACUGACUAGGGAAAGCUGGGAGACUGAGCUGAAUGGAGACUGGCCCUGUCUUGCAGCCUGCAGCUGGGAACCAACCUCCCUUUCAUGAUCCAGACCUUGUUUCUUACUUUCUGCUGGCAUAGGCAGCUGCAGCCUGUUUCAGUUGCUACUGUGGAAGCCUUUUUCAAAUAUCUAAUGCUUCUUUGAACUGUGUGUAUGAGUUUGUGUGUCUAACACAGUACCUUGCUAUUUUUAUUUGUAUUUUUUUUCUAUAGAGCCACUGACUCCCAGCAUUGGUGGGAGCUGUCUAAAUAUUCAGAUGUUCUUCAACAAAGGCAUUGCAUAAAUUUUCUUCUCCAGACAACCCCUCUUAAAUGUUAAUACCAAGGGGUUUUUUCCUAUUGCUUUACUGCUUUUUUUUUGUUGUUGUUUUUAUUUUCUGUUCUCAUAGAAGCAGUCCCACAGAAAUCGUAUCAUCAGACUUUCUCUACAGUCUCAGGCAAAGCGAAUUUUCUGAUAUUUUACUGCCAGACAGCAAUUACUCAACAGACACAUUUUCCCAUUCCUUUUGCAACAAUGCUUACUUUGUUUUCAAGUUUUGACGGGUUAUAUUCAUCUAUGUCUUCUUUAUCUUGACAGAUUGUUUUCCUGCUGCUGCUCCAGCUUCUGCUGUUAAUCUAACAUCUGAUAAAUGGGCCCAGCUGGCAGCAGAUGUGAACCCACCAUGGCAGAGUCUCUUUCUCAGAUGAGAAAGAGAAUCACAUUCAUAACCAUGCUGUUUUGGAUUCACUUUGCAAGAAGGCUGCCAAUUUUCCACGAACUUGUAAGAACUUAGCAUCUUUGAGAAUGUUGCACCUCUCUCAAAUUUGGCUCAAGUUGGCUGUUGACUGAAACUGGAGUUGGGAGGCAGACAGGCAGAUGGCAUAUUUGCUCAAGGGUUGUUCAUCUGGAAAAACAAGCUAAAAGAAGAAAACAAAUUCACACAGAAGAAACCUGACUGGACUUCUGAAAAACCUCCAACCACGUUCACAUGUAACAAUAUCUGAG
Long non-coding RNA from Pipra filicauda (Wire-tailed manakin), 1819 nucleotides. RefSeq lists it as uncharacterized. Lineage: Eukaryota; Metazoa; Chordata; Aves; Passeriformes; Pipridae. The transcript has 3 exons. The record is from RefSeq and is a predicted model, not a curated record.